GGCUAACACAUGCAAGUCGAGCGCGCCCUUCGGGGUGAGCGGCGGACGGGUUAGUAACGCGUGGGAAUAUACCCUUUGGUACGGAAUAGCCUCUGGAAACGGAGAGUAAUACCGUAUGAGCCCUUCGGGGGAAAGAUUUAUCGCCAAAGGAUUAGCCCGCGUUAGAUUAGGUAGUUGGUGGGGUAAUGGCCUACCAAGCCUACGAUCUAUAGCUGGUUUUAGAGGAUGAUCAGCAACACUGGGACUGAGACACGGCCCAGACUCCUACGGGAGGCAGCAGUGGGGAAUCUUGGACAAUGGGGGCAACCCUGAUCCAGCCAUGCCGCGUGAGUGAUGAAGGCCUUAGGGUCGUAAAGCUCUUUCGCCUGUGAAGAUAAUGACGGUAGCAGGUAAAGAAACCCCGGCUAACUCCGUGCCAGCAGCCGCGGUAAUACGGAGGGGGUUAGCGUUGUUCGGAAUUACUGGGCGUAAAGCGCACGUAGGCGGACUGGAAAGUUGGGGGUGAAAUCCCGGGGCUCAACCCCGGAACUGCCUCCAAAACUAUCAGUCUAGAGUUCGAGAGAGGUGAGUGGAAUUCCGAGUGUAGAGGUGAAAUUCGUAGAUAUUCGGAGGAACACCAGUGGCGAAGGCGGCUCACUGGCUCGAUACUGACGCUGAGGUGCGAAAGUGUGGGGAGCAAACAGGAUUAGAUACCCUGGUAGUCCACACCGUAAACGAUGAAUGCCAGUCGUCGGGUAGCAUGCUAUUCGGUGACACACCUAACGGAUUAAGCAUUCCGCCUGGGGAGUACGGUCGCAAGAUUAAA
RNAcentral lists this ribosomal RNA (805 nucleotides) under Ruegeria sp. Oct07-MA-5BB-3. RNAcentral's name for it is "bacterial SSU rRNA". It matches the Rfam family "Bacterial small subunit ribosomal RNA", at positions 45 to 898 of the family's 1533-position model. Lineage: Bacteria; Pseudomonadati; Pseudomonadota; Alphaproteobacteria; Rhodobacterales; Roseobacteraceae. The record is from RNAcentral.